GGAACAUGCUGGCCUGAGCCCCGUGGGGACCCUAGCAGGGUUAUGGAGGGCUAAUACAAGAGAUGUGGAGAUAGAUGGGAGUUUGGGUCACUUAUAUCCCAACUGGGCUUUGAGAAGGGACCUCAAAGUAAAUUAGUGAACAACAAGCAACACUGGUGCACAGGGAACAGCUUUUUGGCCACAAAAAAACCCACAAGUGUGUUAAUGGGAGCAAAGGAUGAGAAUAAACCCUCUCCUUCCACUGGAGAAUACUGAUGGGAACCGCCUGCCUCUUAUAAUAGCUUUCCUAGCCAUCGUCUGCAUUUGUGCAGCACUCUCAUUUACUUAGACUGAGCAGUGGUCGGCACCAUUUUGCAUGUUUUUAUUUUCCCCAUUUUCCAGAAUAAGAUGCAGACCAAAGAGUUAAUCACUUUCCUGAGGAUGCAGGACUCAGCUUUUCUGAUGCAGGCCCCAUAUUCUUUCUGCUCUGGUGCAGCCCCCUCCUAGCUUUCGUCAACCCAUGCUGAGACCAGAGCUCCAGGAUGAGAAGGAUACUCACACAGUGGCUGCCCUGCCCAGGGCUGUACCACAGGCUCUUGGCCCAGGAUCUCUGAUCUCUGCUAAGCCUGAACUACAACAAACAGCUCAGGAAAGCAACACAGAAGCAAGCCCUGGACCCUGAGAGAAGAAAGUUCUUGUACCAAGGUUGGAUCUGGCCCACACAGGAGGGACAGAGACUGGAGGGAAGGAGCUAACAAGAUGAGAGAGGCCAGGCUUGUCCAUGAAUGGCUCCAUCAAGGUGCGAUGCAAGGCACCUCCUGGGAUCAUGCAGGGAGUGAGACAGAGGCGUGGGGUGAGCUGUGCUGGAGUGGGCAUAAGGUGCAGGUCAGGGAAGAAGCUGAGUUCCCAAGACCC
RNAcentral lists this long non-coding RNA (894 nucleotides) under Homo sapiens (human). RNAcentral's name for it is "non-protein coding lnc-RASSF4-2:1". The record is from RNAcentral. Lineage: Eukaryota; Metazoa; Chordata; Mammalia; Primates; Hominidae.